GGAGGGACAUUACCGAGUUAUUCAACUCAUCAACCCUGUGAACAUACCUAAACGUUGCUUCGGCGGGAAUAGACGGCCCCGUGAAACGGGCCGCCCCCGCCAGAGGACCCUUAACUCUGUUUCUAUAAUGUUUCUUCUGAGUAAAACAAGCAAAUAAAUUAAAACUUUCAACAACGGAUCUCUUGGCUCUGGCAUCGAUGAAGAACGCAGCGAAAUGCGAUAAGUAAUGUGAAUUGCAGAAUUCAGUGAAUCAUCGAAUCUUUGAACGCACAUUGCGCCCGCCAGUAUUCUGGCGGGCAUGCCUGUUCGAGCGUCAUUACAACCCUCAGGCCCCCGGGCCUGGCGUUGGGGAUCGGCGGAGCCCCCCGUGGGCACACGCCGUCCCCCAAAUACAGUGGCGGUCCCGCCGCAGCUUCCAUCGCGUAGUAGCUAACACCUCGCGACUGGAGAGCGGCGCGGCCACGCCGUAAAACACCCAACUCUUCUGAAGUUGACCUCGAAUCAGGUAGGAAUAUCCGCUGA
RNAcentral lists this unclassified non-coding RNA (522 nucleotides) under Fusarium perseae. RNAcentral describes it as "Neocosmospora perseae sequence contains ITS1, 5.8S rRNA gene, ITS2". The stretch from base 163 to 316 matches the Rfam family "5.8S ribosomal RNA". Lineage: Eukaryota; Fungi; Ascomycota; Sordariomycetes; Hypocreales; Nectriaceae. The record is from RNAcentral.